ACCACGGACCACGGACGCACACGGAUGUGUACGCACGUGUAGUUGUUUGUUAUUAUUGUAUAGGUUAGGUCAGAAGGUAGCCGAUCACGGACUGAGAAUUCAGAAUAAUACAACAUGCCUUAUUGUGUAGCGCCUAACUGCAAAAACAGAUCUUUCUCAAAAUCAAAAAAACAAUGUGAGGUGAACAUUUCACCUUGUUCCGAAAAAUAUUGAGAGGCGUAGGAUAUGGCUUGAUACGAUAGGGUUGACGAACACAAGUGUACUAAAGUAUGCUUAUUUAUGUUCAUGUCAUUUUUCACCGGAUACAUUCGAUCGAACAUCUACUUUGAAGGUUAGGCUGAAAGACGAUGCUAUUCUAAAUAUGAAGUCACGUUGCACCCUGAUGCAGCGGAAUCUUCAUCUUCAAUUGAUCAAGUUUGUGAAUCAGCAAUCAAAAAGCCGAGAAUUGAUAGCCGUGAGUUGAUAUAAAUUCUAUUCUGACAAUAUCUAAUUGUUGAGAUC
Molecule: long non-coding RNA, 501 nt
Organism: Diprion similis
Lineage: Eukaryota; Metazoa; Arthropoda; Insecta; Hymenoptera; Diprionidae
Exons: 3
Source: RefSeq, a predicted model, not a curated record